UGUCUCUGGUUAGACCCACAUCCAAUGAUACAGAGAAAGAGACAAUGGACAAUGACAGGAGCAUGUCUCCAUAGGAUUACCAGGACCAGAAAUCAAAUCCUGAUCAGAAACUAUCACAGUGCAAAAAACAAACUCUUCAUCAUGGAUUAUGUGCAUUUAAGCAUGACAAGAAGAAUCAUUUCUGAACUGCAUUCAGCUGCAGAAGUAGCUCAGGAUGGAGACACAAGACAGCACACAAACAAAUUUUCAGGCAGCUACUGGUAAUUUUCAAUGAGCAACCACCCAACAAAAACAGCAAAAGCAAGGAGAUGAACAAUCCAUUGCCUGAAGAUUAUUCACCAAAAAUAUUUGAAGAUGGUAACCAAAUGAUCAAGUGGAAUUAAUCUGUGGGGGAAUUAUUUUGUUUUCUUAGAGGUGGAAGUGUUAUCUAAUCACAGCAGUGAAUCUGAUCGACUUCCCCUGACGUAGCUUUUCUCUGGGUUGCAGUAAUCCCGAAAUAAAAAACUGGAAAUACAAAGGAGAAGCAAGGAAGAUAAAAGAACACCCUAUCUGCCAUAAGCCAAGAUCCAAUAGAAGCAGAAAGAUACAUCUUAAAUUUUGUCCUUAAUUUCCUGUCCAAGAUAAAAAGACUCUGCUACAUACC
Molecule: long non-coding RNA, 643 nt
Organism: Pseudopipra pipra
Lineage: Eukaryota; Metazoa; Chordata; Aves; Passeriformes; Pipridae
Exons: 2
Source: RefSeq, a predicted model, not a curated record